AACGGUAACAUUUCUAGCUUGCUAGAAGAUGACGAGUGGCGGACGGGUGAGUAAUGCUUGGGAACUUGCCUUUGCGAGGGGGAUAACAGUUGGAAACGACUGCUAAUACCGCAUAAUGUCUUCGGACCAAACGGGGCUUCGGCUCCGGCGCAAAGAGAGGCCCAAGUGAGAUUAGCUAGUUGGUAAGGUAACGGCUUACCAAGGCGACGAUCUCUAGCUGUUCUGAGAGGAAGAUCAGCCACACUGGGACUGAGACACGGCCCAGACUCCUACGGGAGGCAGCAGUGGGGAAUAUUGCACAAUGGGGGAAACCCUGAUGCAGCCAUGCCGCGUGUGUGAAGAAGGCCUUCGGGUUGUAAAGCACUUUCAGUUGUGAGGAAAAGUUAGUAGUUAAUACCUGCUAGCCGUGACGUUAACAACAGAAGAAGCACCGGCUAACUCCGUGCCAGCAGCCGCGGUAAUACGGAGGGUGCGAGCGUUAAUCGGAAUUACUGGGCGUAAAGCGCACGCAGGCGGUUUGUUAAGCUAGAUGUGAAAGCCCCGGGCUCAACCUGGGAUGGUCAUUUAGAACUGGCAGACUAGAGUCUUGGAGAGGGGAGUGGAAUUCCAGGUGUAGCGGUGAAAUGCGUAGAUAUCUGGAGGAACAUCAGUGGCGAAGGCGACUCCCUGG
This 670-nucleotide ribosomal RNA is filed under the name uncultured Gammaproteobacteria bacterium. RNAcentral's name for it is "bacterial SSU rRNA". It matches the Rfam family "Bacterial small subunit ribosomal RNA", at positions 65 to 732 of the family's 1533-position model. Lineage: Bacteria; Pseudomonadati; Pseudomonadota; Gammaproteobacteria. The record is from RNAcentral.